AUCUUUUUCUGGCUCACAAGCAUGAUGAUUGGUUGUUCGCUGUUUGUGUAACAUAUGCCUCCCUUAAAUCUUGUUAUAUAUUUGGCACAUUACUCAUCUGAUU
Sorex fumeus (smoky shrew) is the source of this 103-nucleotide small nucleolar RNA. RefSeq annotates it as small nucleolar RNA U13. NCBI's taxonomy places the organism in Eukaryota, Metazoa, Chordata, Mammalia, Eulipotyphla, Soricidae. The record is from RefSeq and is a predicted model, not a curated record. The transcript has a single exon.